ACAUCGUUUCAUUAUUAAAAGAGUGGGCUUUGCAGGUUGCUGUUUUAGCUGUUUAAACACAAAAGCCCAACUCAUAUUGAUUUUCAAAUGCAUCUUCUUCCAGAAUCCACAAGUCGACGUCUCAUCUUUUCUUCUCCGACUCUCUCAACUUCUCCUGCUUAGGAAGACUGCAGUUAACGACAUUCUUAACUCCUUCAACCCACUCCAACCAUGAUUUCUCAUUCAAUGCAUCUUCCCUCUCUACGGCUGUUGGAUCUCCAGCUAUAAAAAGUCGACCCUGAUGCUAUCCACCGUGAACGUCCACCAUGACCCUGGCUCAUCUCCUCCACCAAGCGGAUACCACAUAUAUAUAUAUAUAUAUAUAUAUAUAUAAUGCUUAUCGAAGAGUUUUGGUAAUUUUACACCCCCCUUUGCAAGUUCUUCGUGUUACAAAUCCUUCAAGACAAAAACGUCAAGAAGAUGACUGUCACCAACAUUCACCUCCCCGACUUUGAGACAGGAAGUUGUAAAGAGACAGUGGGUACACGACUUCUGUGUUUUUCAGAGGCUAGAAAUGUGAAGAAAGGAGGAGAGCUGAUGGGUGUUGAAGUGGUUUCCGUUGAUGUGAAGUGAUUACACUUAAAGGACUUAAACAAGCCACCGGUUAUUGCUAACAAGGAGUUAGAGGCAGGGGAGGAAGACUAGGAAGUGAUGCAGCCCCUUAUGUGAGACGCCUACCAAUUGGCAGCCCAAACCAACAUGGAGGUUUUGUAAGAGGUGGUUAAGACAAAGGCCAAGCUGGUGGUGGCAAAGGGAAUAAAGGUGGCCCAGCUAAAGAUGCCUAAAUGUAGGAUUGAAAAAAUGGAAAAAGCUCUAACAUGGUAUUAGGAAGAACAUGAAGACAACACUAGCUGAAGGCUUUCUACAGUUGUUGACUAUCAAGUGAACACCCUCCUAUGUUUCUAGGAGAAGCCAGAGCUAAAGCCUUUGUUGCUCAAACUUGCGCAGUGCUCUUUUUCAUGAUUCAGUGGCUACAUGAGAGUUGUUUCUGCACGAGUCAGAGUUUAGAGUCAGUAACUUAACUUGCUUCACAUUUAAGAUAUUGUGGUUACAUUUGUUUAUCUAAUGAAUAAGCAAACCAGACUCUAAAUAGCUUAACUUGCUUCACAUUUAAGAUAUUGAGGUUACAGUUGUUUAUCUAAUGGAUAAGCAAACUAGAACCAAGUAAAAUACACGUUCCAAAAACGAUUUACAAACAAUGUUCUUUCUAUUAUAUACUAAUACAUGAAUAUGUUUUUAACGA
Brassica napus (rape) is the source of this 1282-nucleotide long non-coding RNA. RefSeq lists it as uncharacterized. The record is from RefSeq and is a predicted model, not a curated record. The transcript has 5 exons. Lineage: Eukaryota; Viridiplantae; Streptophyta; Magnoliopsida; Brassicales; Brassicaceae.